GCCUAACACAUGCAGGUCGAACGCGAAAGUGGAGCAAUCCAUGAGUAGAGUGGCAAACGGGUGAGUAACACGUGGGUGACCUGCCUUCGAGUGGGGGAUAACGUCCCGAAAGGGACGCUAAUACCGCAUAACAUGCUGUCUUUUAAGAGGUGGACAUCUAAGCUGGGGAUCGCAAGACCUAGCGCUUGAAGAGGGGCCCGCGUCCGAUUAGCUAGUUGGUGGGGUAAUGGCUCACCAAGGCAACGAUCGGUAUCCGGCCUGAGAGGGCGGACGGACACACUGGGACUGAGACACGGCCCAGACUCSUAYGGGAGGCAGCAGUGGGGAAUUGUUCGCAAUGGGCGCAAGCCUGACGACGCAACGCCGCGUGGAGGAUGAAGAUCUUCGGGUCGUAAACUCCUUUCGAUCGAGACGAAUGGCCCCUGGGCUAAUCACCAGGGGAAUGACGGUACCGAGAGAAGAAGCCCCGGCUAACUCCGUGCCAGCAGCCGCGGUAAUACGGGGGGGGCAAGCGUUGUUCGGAAUUACUGGGCGUAAAGGGCUCGUAGGUGGCCAACUAAGUCAUACGUGAAAUCCCUCGGCUUAACCGGGGAACUGCGUCUGAUACUGGAUGGCUUGAGUUCGGGAGAGGGAUGCGGAAUUCCAGGUGUAGCGGUGAAAUGCGUAGAUAUCUGGAGGAACACCGGUGGCGAAGGCGGCAUCCUGGACCAACACUGACACUGAUGAGCGAAAGCCAGGGGAGCAAACGGGAUUAGAUACCCCGGUAGUCCUGGCCCUAAACGAUGAAUGCUUGGUGUGGCGGGUAUCGAUCCCUGCCGUGCCGAAGCUAACGCAUUAAGCAUUCCGCCUGGGGAGUACGGUCGCAAGGC
This 869-nucleotide ribosomal RNA is filed under the name uncultured bacterium. Its description in RNAcentral is "bacterial SSU rRNA". It matches the Rfam family "Bacterial small subunit ribosomal RNA", at positions 46 to 894 of the family's 1533-position model. The record is from RNAcentral.